This is a long non-coding RNA of Suricata suricatta (meerkat), 193 nucleotides long. RefSeq lists it as uncharacterized. The record is from RefSeq and is a predicted model, not a curated record. The transcript is spliced from 3 exons. Lineage: Eukaryota; Metazoa; Chordata; Mammalia; Carnivora; Herpestidae.
AUCAGAAGGCGUUCUGAUCUGACUCCUGGACCGUUGGCUGUCUGCUGUGAGAAGAGGUCAAGGAUGCCCCAGCUCCACGCACUAAUGUGCUCUAAUGUAGGACACCCUGAGAGAAAAGACAAGGGAAGCGGAAAAGCGAUGGCAGUGCAAGGAGAUCCAGGGCGCCUGGGUGGCUCACUUGGUUAAGAAUCCA